AUUGAACGCUGGCGGCAGGCCUAACACAUGCAAGUCGAACGAGUGGCGGACGGGUGAGUAAUGUCUGGGAAACUGCCUGAUGGAGGGGGAUAACUACUGGAAACGGUAGCUAAUACCGCAUACCAUCGGAUGUGCCCAGAUGGGAUUAGCUAGUAGGUGGGGUAAAGGCUCACCUAGGCGACGAUCCCUAGCUGGUCUGAGAGGAUGACCGGCCACACUGGAACUGGGACACGGUCGGGACUCCUACGGGGGGCAGCAGUGGGGGAUAUUGCACGAUGGGGGCAAGCCUGAUGCAGCCAUGCCGCGUGUAUGAAGAGGGCCUUCGGGUUGUAAAGUACUUUCAGCAGGAAGGCGUUACCCGCAGAGGAAGCACCGGCUAACUCCGUGCCAGCAGCCGCGGUAAUAC
Molecule: ribosomal RNA, 406 nt
Filed under: uncultured bacterium
Lineage: Bacteria
Description: partial 16S ribosomal RNA
Rfam family: Bacterial small subunit ribosomal RNA
Source: RNAcentral